RNAcentral lists this ribosomal RNA (465 nucleotides) under uncultured bacterium. RNAcentral describes it as "partial 16S ribosomal RNA". It matches the Rfam family "Bacterial small subunit ribosomal RNA", at positions 28 to 507 of the family's 1533-position model. The record is from RNAcentral.
GAUGAACGCUGGCGGCGUGCUUAACACAUGCAAGUCGAACGGAAAGGCUCCUGCUUGCCGGGGUCCUCGAGUGGCGAACGGGUGAGUAACACGUGGGUGAUCUGCCCUGCACUUCGGGAUAAGCCUGGGAAACUGGGUCUAAUACCGGAUAGGACGAUGGUUUGGAUGCCAUUGUGGAAAGUUUUUCGGUGUGGGAUGAGCUCGCGGCCUAUCAGCUUGUUGGUGGGGUAAUGGCCUACCAAGGCGUCGACGGGUAGCCGGCCUGAGAGGGUGUACGGCCACAUUGGGACUGAGAUACGGCCCAGACUCCUACGGGAGGCAGCAGUGGGGAAUAUUGCACAAUGGGCGCAAGCCUGAUGCAGCGACGCCGCGUGGGGGAUGACGGCCUUCGGGUUGUAAACUCCUUUCGCUAGGGACGAAGCGCAAGUGACGGUACCUGGAGAAGAAGCACCGGCUAACUACGUG